GUGGUCUCAUGGUGGGUGUCUUUUAGGUCCCAGUUGUUGUUACUAGUCAACUUCCAGUGGACACCCCCAUAGUGUCUUUCAGAGCCCCUCCUAAAAAACAAGUUAUAUUUUGGGUUGGAUAUUGCAUCAUAUUGUUGAUAUUUUAAUCAAUGGCAUUUCCUUACAAUGCUCAUUAGUCUUUCAGUUGUUAUUAUUGUUUUUUAUCCUCAUAUUUGUGUACUAAAUAUUUCUGAUUAUUUUCAUAGUUUUUUCCUGUGAAGCCAUUGUGUUGCAUCCAUGUCUGAAAUGUGCUGUAUAAAUAAAGCUUGAUUUGAUUUGAACAUAUUGCGAAACAAAUGAACCCAAUGACCGACCAAUCAACAGACUCUUGGUCCCUCUUAGUAUCCCCCUUGUCCCUUUCCCAAUGUCAUGAACUAGACCAGGUACUGUUACAGCUGCUCUCUCCUCCUCAAUGUCAUGAACUAGACCAGGUACUGUGUUACAGCUGCUCUCUCAAUGCCAUGAACUAGACCAGGUACUGUGUUACAGCUGCUCUCUCCUCCUCAAUGUCAUGAACUAGACCAGGUACUGUGUUACAGCUGCUCUCUCCUCCUCAAUGUCAUGAACUAGACCAG
Molecule: long non-coding RNA, 614 nt
Filed under: Salmo salar (Atlantic salmon)
Lineage: Eukaryota; Metazoa; Chordata; Actinopteri; Salmoniformes; Salmonidae
Description: lncRNA (ENSSSAG00000088208.1)
Source: RNAcentral